Non-coding RNA from Schizosaccharomyces pombe (fission yeast), 357 nucleotides. NCBI's taxonomy places the organism in Eukaryota, Fungi, Ascomycota, Schizosaccharomycetes, Schizosaccharomycetales, Schizosaccharomycetaceae. The record is from the annotation of a GenBank genome assembly.
AGUGUAAUCCGUGAAAAGCUGAUUAGAUUGAUCACAUAGAGCCCGAUCAAGAAUCUUGGCAGAGGAAUGAAGAAAGUUAUUUAAAUGAUCAAUUUCAAGCGCUGAAGUUGGUAAUGAACACUUGGGCGCUUUAGUCGAAUGUUUCAAAUGCUUGCUAGUUUCACGAAUAUUUACAGUCUUGCUAAUAGAAGGAACAUGAUUUGAUACAUUGAAUGUAGAAGAAUAAGACUGAUACACCGAUGAGAUUUUAAGUUCACAAUCUGAAACAAGAUUGCUGGAUUUAGACUCCAAAGAGUAAGUUUGAGGCGUCAGGUUUGUUGGUUUAAGUAUUUUACAUAAAAAAUUAGAAAGUUGGUC